This 277-nucleotide long non-coding RNA is filed under the name Mytilus galloprovincialis (Mediterranean mussel). Lineage: Eukaryota; Metazoa; Mollusca; Bivalvia; Mytilida; Mytilidae. The record is from RNAcentral.
ACCGGAAGUCGGCAUUUGGGAGUCCGCCUCAAGUAAACAAAAGCUUUAAAUUUUGGCCUUAGGAGACAGAAAAUAACAAAACGACUUUGCACAUUUCUGCAAAAAAGUAUUUUCUUUGAUUUAAGACAUUAAUGAUUUAAAUUGGAACACAGACAAAAAAUGUGCAAACGAUUUAUUCCAAGCACAUCCAACGACAAGGACUUGUAUGUUGGUCAGACCAAUGUCAACCUAUAAAUUACACCCUGUAAGACUUAAUAGCAGUUGAUAAGUAUCGGAC